GGGAACAUACCCUUUUCUACGGAAUAGCUCUGGGAAACUGGAAUUAAUACCGUAUACGCCCUACGGAGGAAAGAUUUAUCGGGGAAGGAUUGGCCCGCGUUGGAUUAGCUAGUUGGUGGGGUAAAGGCCUACCAAGGCGACGAUCCAUAGCUGGUCUGAGAGGAUGAUCAGCCACAUUGGGACUGAGACACGGCCCAAACUCCUACGGGAGGCAGCAGUGGGGAAUAUUGGACAAUGGGCGCAAGCCUGAUCCAGCCAUGCCGCGUGAGUGAUGAAGGCCUUAGGGUUGUAAAGCUCUUUCACCGAUGAAGAUAAUGACGGUAGUCGGAGAAGAAGCCCCGGCUAACUUCGUGCCAGCAGCCGCGGUAAUACGAAGGGGGCUAGCGUUGUUCGGAAUUACUGGGCGUAAAGCGCACGUAGGCGGAUAUUUAAGUCAGGGGUGAAAUCCCAGAGCUCAACUCUGGAACUGCCUUUGAUACUGGGUAUCUUGAGUAUGGAAGAGGUAAGUGGAAUUGCGAGU
Molecule: ribosomal RNA, 520 nt
Filed under: uncultured bacterium
Lineage: Bacteria
Description: bacterial SSU rRNA
Rfam family: Bacterial small subunit ribosomal RNA
Source: RNAcentral